UUGUAUGAAAAAUUUUACAUCAAGUAGACAGUCAAAUUAGAAGUUACAGCUUAUUAAAAUUCAUUGAUUAGGAUUGGAGCUUAUUAAAAAAAUCUAAAUUGCUUAAAUAUGAAAGCAACAAGGUAAUUGAGGUUUAUGUGUGAUUGAAGCUAUUAAGAAGAGUUUUUUUUAGUAUUUUUGAAUUAAAAUUUGGAUUAUAUUCUUCUCAUAUGGAUGAAAUCUAUUAGGAUUUUUUUUAUUUUUUU
Molecule: long non-coding RNA, 245 nt
Filed under: Physcomitrium patens
Lineage: Eukaryota; Viridiplantae; Streptophyta; Bryopsida; Funariales; Funariaceae
Description: long non-coding RNA (PPAT_LNC008143)
Source: RNAcentral